Molecule: ribosomal RNA, 253 nt
Filed under: uncultured bacterium
Lineage: Bacteria
Description: partial 16S ribosomal RNA
Rfam family: Bacterial small subunit ribosomal RNA
Source: RNAcentral
UACAGAGGUCUCAAGCGUUGUUCGGAUUCAUUGGGCGUAAAGGGUGUGUAGGUGGCGCCGUAAGUCGGGUGUGAAAUUUCGGAGCUUAACUCCGAAACUGCAUUCGAUACUGCGGUGCCUGAGGACUGGAGAGGAGACUGGAAUUCAUGGUGUAGCAGUGAAAUGCGUAGAGAUCAUGAGGAAGACCAGUGGCGAAGGCGGGUCUCUGGACAGUUCCUGACACUGAGACACGAAGGCCAGGGGAGCAAACGGG